Oxyura jamaicensis (ruddy duck) is the source of this 150-nucleotide long non-coding RNA. RefSeq lists it as uncharacterized. The record is from RefSeq and is a predicted model, not a curated record. The transcript is spliced from 5 exons. Lineage: Eukaryota; Metazoa; Chordata; Aves; Anseriformes; Anatidae.
AAGCAUGUGAAAUGCAAAGUAUGGCCAGAGAGAAAUCUACUUUCCUGAGACAAAACGCAGAAUGUUUGAUCUGCAGCAGAGUAGUCCUGAUCAUGACUAGCAUGAAAUAACCUAUUCUCAGAUGGGUUAUGUACUUUUCCUAAUAAUUAA